GACUUUUAGAGAGUCCAAUUUUGUUUCUGCACUUUUGCAAAUUGGACUCCAUGAAAGUACAUUACCAUAGCGUUGUGUUGACUUUCUACAGAAUUAUUGUGCGUAUAGAUAAAAAUGGCGAAACUCCCUCCAUAAGUGAAAGUCUUUCUGGUAGAUCUGGGAUUGGAAGGAUAAAAUUAUAAAGAUUCCAGUUCUUGGGUGGUUUUAGAGGCAGCGGUGACUCUCCUGGUUUUGAUCAGGCUCAUCAGUAGAUUUGGGUUAUCCUUCAUCGAAUUCGGGUGACUGCAGUAAAAAAUUGAUGUGGACACAGUUGCCAAUCUGAGUGGUCCACAUUUGUAUGUGUCGUUGUCGGAAGUAUUUCUUUUGGAUACAGUGAAUCUGCUGAGAAUCGUUAUGCAAAUGCAACUAUCUUUUGGACCCUUGAGGGUUCAUCAUUACCCUGAGGUAAUUUCAUACUCAAGAAGAGAGAAGUGAGAAAAAGGUCUCCCACCAACACCAGUGUCUGUCACGGGAAUUGCAUGGUUAUGUCUUUGAGAUGAGACUGGAGCUCUUCUCCUCCCAGUUCAUGAAUGGUGAUUCAGAGGAAGGACAUCUGCAGCCUGAGGACUGAGAGGAAUGAGGAUGGACUCUGAUCCAGAACCACCAGGAUAUUCCUGAUAUCGUGCCAAAUUCUCCUGGAAUUUGGCAUGAAGGACCGGAGCGGAUAAAAAGUCAGCAAAUGCAUCCUCCUCCCAGGGAAUUCUGAAAUUCUCUAGAAGCAGGGCUGUGGACCUGGACUUGCAAGCCAAGCAGGGAGUCAUCUGGGAUUCUCUGCUGAUCCCACUGAGCAGCAUCUCCGUCCUCUGCAUUGUCCUCCGGGAGCAGGAUGCAGAAGGGUAGGUCUCCUUGCACCCACUUCCUCUUUCCCUGAAGUAGAAGCUGGUGAACAUGGGCAGAAUAACGGGAAACGUUUGUGUCAUUACCAGGGUCUUCUACCUGAGAUCUGAGAGCCAUGCAGAGUGCAUGGAAGGAACAAUUCCUCUGGUCCUGUUAUCUUGCAGAAACCCAGGAUUGUCUUGAGAUGCUCCAUUUCUGUCUUGAGCUUGGCCGUGAGAUUUUAAAUUUGCUAACCAGCUCUGCCACGCGACCAGUGCUGGCUUCGUGAAAGAAGUAAUAAAAGGAUCUGUGAGGCAGUGUCCCGGAAAAAAUUCAUGAAGAGGGACUUUGAAGACAUUCAACACAUCACUGUGGAUGAAGCUCAGAAUUUCCACACUGAAAAUGGGGACUUAUAUGGGAAGGCAAAAGCCGUCACUCAGAGGGAAAAGGAAGUCCAGAAAUUCUCUGGAACUUUCUGAACCAUUUUCAGACCAGCCACUUGGAUGUUAGCGGUCUCCCUCCUCUUUCAUCCCAGUAGCUAAGAGCUCACCAGAGUGAUCCCCAAUGCAGAUGAAGUCGCCCAAUACCUACCAGAAGUGAUGAAGGUCAUUAGAAGAAAACCACCAUGCAACAUCCCCCAUGGGUCCUUGGAGGUGCUUAUGAAAGCCGAACAACUUCAGGGUUCUAAGGAACUAUGCCAAUUGAGAGAGAGAUUAGAAAUGUGAGCCACUGCAUUUGCAUUUUUUCCUGAAUUCUUGAAAUUUGUCUUUGCUCUAUUGAUUCAGGACAUGGAAGAUUCCCGAGAUAAUUCAGUCACUGAAUUAUCUCAAGCAUUUUGGCAGAACAAAGAGCACUGGUAUGGAUAUGUAAGGUACUUCAGUUGCCCUUUUUCAGAGAAAUUUUAGACCAAGAGAAAGCACACAUACACACCUCUUUUUUUUUUUUUUCUGGAUUUCAACAGGAGAUUGUAUUAUGGAACAGAAUCAGAUUCUACAGGUGUGUAUAAGCUCCUAAGGAACAGGAAUAGGAAAGAAAGUCUUUUAAAAUCUACAAGUCUUCUGGGGAUGUCACUUCGUGGUAGGUUCUUACCAAGCAUGCCUCUGGUCCUGGGUUAGACUCACGUGGACACAUCCCAACAUCAAUAGCCUUGAAAUGACGAAUUCUCAUCUCAGUUCUACUUACUAAUGUAUAACAUAGCUACUGAAGUAUUAAUUCGAUCUUUUUUUUUUUUUACCAUUUUUAUUAAGAAUUUUUCAUUUGUUAUUUUUAGUUGUAUA
Non-coding RNA from Marmota flaviventris (yellow-bellied marmot), 2132 nucleotides. Lineage: Eukaryota; Metazoa; Chordata; Mammalia; Rodentia; Sciuridae. The record is from RefSeq and is a predicted model, not a curated record.